GACGAACGCUGGCGGCGUGCUUAACACAUGCAAGUCGAACGGAAAGGCCCUGCUUUUGUGGGGUGCUCGAGUGGCGAACGGGUGAGUAACACGUGAGUAACCUGCCCUUGACUUUGGGAUAACUUCAGGAAACUGGGGCUAAUACCGGAUAGGAGCUCCUGCUGCAUGGUGGGGGUUGGAAAGUUUCGGGGGUUGGGGAUGGACUCGCUGCUUCUCAGCUUGUUGGUGGGGUGGUGGCUUAGCAAAGCAUUGACGGGUUGCCGGGCUGGGAGGGUGGCCGGACAAAAUGGGACGGGGGUGAGGCACAGAAUACAAACGGAGGGGAGAGGGGGGAAUAGUGGAAAACGGGGGGAAGGAAGGAAGAAGAAAGGCGGGGGGGGGAAGAGAGGCAGGGGGUUGGAAAGCAGAUUUGGAUGAGAAGGAAGGGGAAUGACGGUAAUGGGGAAAGAAGGACCGGCUAACUACGUG
RNAcentral lists this ribosomal RNA (468 nucleotides) under uncultured bacterium. RNAcentral describes it as "partial 16S ribosomal RNA". The stretch from base 20 to 330 matches the Rfam family "Bacterial small subunit ribosomal RNA", at positions 47 to 358 of the family's 1533-position model. The record is from RNAcentral.